UUUAUAUGAGAGUUUGAUCCUGGCUCAGGAUGAACGCCGGCGGUGUGCCUAAUACAUGCAAGUCGUACGCACUGGCCCAACUGAUUGAUGGUGCUUGCACCUGAUUGACGAUGGAUCACCAGUGAGUGGCGGACGGGUGAGUAACACGUAGGUAACCUGCCCCGGAGCGGGGGAUAACAUUUGGAAACAGAUGCUAAUACCGCAUAACAACAAAAGCCACAUGGCUUUUGUUUGAAAGAUGGCUUUGGCUAUCACUCUGGGAUGGACCUGCGGUGCAUUAGCUAGUUGGUAAGGUAACGGCUUACCAAGGCGAUGAUGCAUAGCCGAGUUGAGAGACUGAUCGGCCACAAUGGAACUGAGACACGGUCCAUACUCCUACGGGAGGCAGCAGUAGGGAAUCUUCCACAAUGGGCGCAAGCCUGAUGGAGCAACACCGCGUGAGUGAAGAAGGGUUUCGGCUCGUAAAGCUCUGUUGUUGGAGAAGAACGUGCG
RNAcentral lists this ribosomal RNA (492 nucleotides) under Limosilactobacillus reuteri. RNAcentral's name for it is "bacterial SSU rRNA". It matches the Rfam family "Bacterial small subunit ribosomal RNA", at positions 1 to 455 of the family's 1533-position model. The record is from RNAcentral. Lineage: Bacteria; Bacillati; Bacillota; Bacilli; Lactobacillales; Lactobacillaceae.